UGGGGAAUCUUGGACAAUGGGGGCAACCCUGAUCCAGCCAUGCCGCGUGAGUGAUGAAGGCCCUAGGGUCGUAAAGCUCUUUCGCCUGUGAAGAUAAUGACGGUAGCAGGUAAAGAAACCCCGGCUAACUCCGUGCCAGCAGCCGCGGUAAUACGGAGGGGGUUAGCGUUGUUCGGAAUUACUGGGCGUAAAGCGCACGUAGGCGGACCAGAAAGUUGGGGGUGAAAUCCCGGGGGCUCAACCCCGGAACUGCCUCCAAAACUAUUGGUCUAGAGUUCGAGAGAGGUGAGUGGAAUUCCAAGUGUAGAGGUGAAAUUCGUAGAUAUUUGGAGGAACACCAGUGGCGAAGGCGGCUCACUGGCUCGAUACUGACGCUGAGGUGCGAAAAGUGUGGGGAGCAAACAGGAUUAGAUACCCUGGUAGUCCACACCGUAAAACGAUGAAUGCCAGUCGUCGGGUAGCAUGCUAUUCGGUGACACACCUAACGGAUUAAGCAUUCCGCCUGGGGAGUACGGUCGCAAGAUUAAAAC
This 530-nucleotide ribosomal RNA is filed under the name uncultured bacterium. RNAcentral describes it as "bacterial SSU rRNA". It matches the Rfam family "Bacterial small subunit ribosomal RNA", at positions 355 to 900 of the family's 1533-position model. The record is from RNAcentral.